RNAcentral lists this unclassified non-coding RNA (244 nucleotides) under air metagenome. RNAcentral's name for it is "partial contains small subunit ribosomal RNA, internal transcribed spacer 1, and 5.8S ribosomal RNA". The stretch from base 1 to 46 matches the Rfam family "Eukaryotic small subunit ribosomal RNA", at positions 1786 to 1831 of the family's 1831-position model. The record is from RNAcentral.
AAGUCGUAACAAGGUUUCCGUAGGUGAACCUGCGGAAGGAUCAUUAUUGAAUUAGCGAGGGCUGUCUGCUGGCCCCUUCGGGGGCAUGUGCACGUCCGAGCCGUUUAAAUCAACACCUGUGAACUCACCGUAGGCCUUCGGGCUUAUGUAUCAUAUAUAUAUAUAUACUCAGAUCAUAGAAUGUACAUUUUGCCUUUAAAAAAGCAAUCAAAUACAACUUUCAACAACGGAUCUCUUGGCUCUC